UCGGGAAUAUUGCGCAAUGGAGGAAACUCUGACGCAGUGACGCCGCGUAUGGGAAGAAGGUUUUCGGAUUGUAAACCAUUGUCGUUAGGGAAGAAGAAGUGACAGUACCUAAGGAGGAAGCUCCGGCUAACUAUGUGCCAGCAGCCGCGGUAAUACAUAGGGAGCGAGCGUUAUCCGGAUUUAUUGGGUGUAAAGGGUGCGUAGACGGGAGUUUAAGUUGGUUGUGAAAUCCCUCGGCUCAACCGAGGAACUGCAACCAAAACUGGACUUCUUGAGUAUCGGAGAGGAAAGUGGAAUUCCUAGUGUAGCGGUGAAAUGCGUAGAUAUUAGGAGGAACACCAGUGGCGAAGGCGACUUUCUGGACGAAAACUGACGUUGAGGCACGAAAGUGUGGGGAGCAAACAGG
Molecule: ribosomal RNA, 406 nt
Filed under: uncultured bacterium
Lineage: Bacteria
Description: bacterial SSU rRNA
Rfam family: Bacterial small subunit ribosomal RNA
Source: RNAcentral